GCCUUCAUGGUGUAACUGGAAACACGCUCGACACGUAUUCGUGAGGUCCGGAGUUCGAAUCCCUCCGAGGGCA
RNAcentral lists this transfer RNA (73 nucleotides) under Stegodyphus mimosarum. It matches the Rfam family "tRNA". From Rfam's summary of the family: Transfer RNA (tRNA) molecules are approximately 80 nucleotides in length. Their secondary structure includes four short double-helical elements and three loops (D, anti-codon, and T loops). Lineage: Eukaryota; Metazoa; Arthropoda; Arachnida; Araneae; Eresidae. The record is from Rfam by way of RNAcentral.